RNAcentral lists this ribosomal RNA (4008 nucleotides) under Candidatus Fraserbacteria bacterium. RNAcentral describes it as "23S ribosomal RNA". It matches the Rfam family "Bacterial large subunit ribosomal RNA". The record is from RNAcentral. Lineage: Bacteria; Candidatus Fraseribacteriota.
GCAAGCUCAGUACGAGCAAAUGGUGGAUGCCUUGGCAGUUGGAGGCGAUGAAGGGCGUGGUAGGCUGCGAUAAGCCACGGGGAGCCGCCGAGCAGGCACUGAUCCGUGGAUGCCCGAAUGGGGUAACCCACCUCGAUGGAGUCGAGGUAUCUGGGGCCGAACUGAGUAGGCCCUAGAAGCGAACCCGGGGAAGUGAAGCAUCUCAGUACCCGGAGGAAGAGAAAUCAACAGAGAUUCCCUAAGUAGCGGCGAGCGAACGGGGAAGAGCCCAAACCUCAGGUGCGUGAUAGGCUGCAUCCGUUGUUCCUGAGGGGUUGUAAGCAGUUCCAUCUCGGUCAUGCAGGACCGAGCAGGGUUACAAGUAAAGCCUAGCCAAACGGCCAGCAAAGUCACUGGAACGGGCGACCAUAGAGGGUGAUAGUCCCGUAGGCGAAAGGCCAAGCUACCCUGGGGAUUUGCUUGAGUAGCGUCGGACCCCAGAAAUCCGGCGUGAAACCGGGAGGACCACUCUCCCAAGGCUAAAUACUCCCAACUGACCGAUAGUGGACUAGUACCGCGAGGGAAAGGUGAAAAGAACCCCGGAAGGGGAGUGAAAUAGAGCCUGAAACCAUUUGCUCACAGACAGUGGGAGGGCCCAGAUCUCCUACCAUAGCACGGGCAAAACUCCUUCGGGAGUGGCACCCAGCGCUAUUGGAGUUCGGCCUGACCGCAUGCCUUUUGCAGUAUGAUCCGGCGAGUUAUCUUAGGUGGCAAGGUUAAGCCGCGAGGUGGAGCCGCAGCGAAAGCGAGUCUGAAUAGGGCGCUUUAGUCACCUGGGAUAGACCCGAAGCCAGGCGAACUAUCCAUGGCCAGGUUGAAGCCUAUGUAACAGUAGGUGAAGGACCGAACCCGUAGAGGAGGAAAACUCUUGGGAUGAGCUGUGGAUAGCGGUGAAAAGCCAGACGAGUCCUGGUGAUAGCUGGUUCUCCCUGAAAUAGCUUUAGGGCUAGCCUCACGCACCGAAGCGCACGGGGGUAGAGCGACCGAAUGGAUGCGGGGCAACCCUAUUCCAACCGAACUCCGAAUACCGUGCGUGAAUCCGUGAGAGUCAGACGGUGGGGAAUAACUCCAUCGUCGAGAGGGAAACAACCCAGACCGCCAGCUAAGGCCUCAAAAUCCGGGCUAAGUGGGAAAGGAUGUGCGAUUGCUUAGACAGCUGGGAGGUUGGCUUAGAAGCAGCCACCCUUUAAAGAGUGCGUAAUAGCUCACCAGUCGAGCGGUUGUGCGCCGAAGAUUUAACGGGGCUCAAGCCCGGUGCCGAAGCUGCGGGUUGGUCAGGUCUCUUCGGGGACCAGGCCAGCGGUAAGGGAGCGUUCCGCCAUAGGAUGAAACCGGUCCGUAAGGGUCGGCGGACGAAGCGGAAGUGAGAAUGCCGGAAUGAGUAGCGCGAGCUGAGCGAGAAACUCAGCCACCGAAUGCCUAAGGUUUCCUGGGGAAGGCUUAUCCUCCCAGGGUAAGGCGGUCCUAAGUUGAACCCGAAAGGGGCAGGCGAUGGAUAGCCGGUUAAUAUUCCGGCCCCUCUCUUUAGGCGUUGACCACGGGGUGACGCCGCAGGUCGGGACGAGCGGGCGGACGGAAGUGCCCGUCCAAGCGUCAAGGCGUCGGGCUCUAGGCAAAUCCGGAGCCCGGUUAAGUCGAGGCGUGAUGGGGAGCUGCUACGGCGGCGAAGGAAGUCUGAUCAGCGGCCAAGAAAAACCUCUAGGGAGCCUAGGAGAGACCGUACCGCAAACCGACACAGGUAGGCAAGGCGAGUAGCCUCAGGUGGGCGAGAUAACCCUCGUUAAGGAACUCGGCAAAAUAAUCCCGUACGUUCGCAAUAAGGGAUGCCUCUCUCGCGAGAGAGGGGCCGCAGAGGAUAGGCUCUGGCGACUGUUUAGUAAAAACACAGCUCCCUGCCAACCCGAAAGGGGAUGUAUAGGGAGUGAAACCUGCCCACUGCUGGAAGGUCAAGGGGAGGGGUGCAAGCUCUAAACUGAAGCCCCAGUGAAGGGCGGCGGUAACUAUAACCGUCCUAAGGUAGCGAAAUUCCUUGUCGGGUAAGUUCCGACGUGCAUGAAUGGUCCAACGACUGGAGCGCUGUCUCAACGAGGGGCUCGGCGAAUUUGAAGCACCGGUGAAAACGCCGGUGACCCACGGCAGGACGGAAAGACCCCGUGGAGCUUUACUGGAGUUUGGUCUUGAGUCUUGGCGUCUAUUGUGUAGGAUAGGUGGGAGCCUAUGAAGCCGGGGCGUUAGCCUCGGUGGAGGCGUCCUUGAAAUACCACCCUGUAGGCGUUAUGGCUCUAACCGAUUCGCCGUGAAGAGCGGCGAUGGGACAGGGCUAAGCGGACAGUUUGACUGGGGUGGUCGCCUCAAAUGUGGGGCGCUCUGGCGGCAACGUCAGAGGCAAAUCUGGCUGUAUGCUGGGAAAUCCGUUUUGCAGGCGCCAGCUGUGCCGUUAUCCAGUUGGCAGCCGAGCAAGUGUAGUAUUUGGCACUACCAAGCGAAAGUCGCUUGGUGAAAAGGUGACCAAUGCGGAUAAUCAGCAGGGAAGUCAGGGAAGAAAAUCCCUUGACCCCUCAACGACUGCACGCCAGACAUCCCACUGGGAUGAUGAUACAGUCUGAACUUCCAGGCGACUGGAAGCCGGAUAGUUCGGGGUUUGGUCGUUCUGAAGGAGCAAAUCGUACUAUGCGAUCCAAUGAGAUCGAAGAGUACAAGAAAGGCUUGAAGCUUACUGAAGAGCAACGAGCAGUGCUGAUCGGUCUAAUGCUGGGCGACGCUCAUCUUGAGACGCAGAACCAAGGUCGUACCUAUCGCCUCAAGAUCGAGCAGAGUGAGGCACAUUGUGCCUACGUUAGACACCUUUACCGGCUGUUCGCUGAGUGGGUGCGAACCCCCCCUCAGGCCAAGAGGGUGACAAGCCGAGGUCAUGUCAGUCGCAACUGGUGGUUUCAAACUUUGAGUCACAGCGCUUUCCGCUUCUAUGCCCAACAGUUUUAUCGGGAGGGGCGGAAACAGGUGCCAAAGUUGAUCCAUCGUUGGUUAAGUCCUCGUGCGUUAGCCUACUGGUACAUGGAUGAUGGCUCGGUGAAAUCGGCGCAGUCGAAGGGCGUGUUGCUCAAUACCCAAAGCUUCAGCCUGAGUGAAGUGGAGCGCCUUUGCCAGGUACUUCAGGAGAAGUACUGCUUGAAGGUCAAGUCGCGCAAGCAACGCUCAGGUUAUCAGAUCUACAUCUCGGGUGACUCAUACGAGACGUUACGCGAUCUGAUUGAGCCUUAUCUCAUUGCAGAGAUGCAUUACAAGCUCCCGACGGCCAGACAAACACAAUUGCCUAAAAGGUAACGGAGGCGUACAAAGGUCCGCUCAGGCCGGUUGGCGAUCGGCCGUGGAGUGCAAGGGCACAAGCGGGCUUGACUGCGAGACCGACGGGUCGAGCAGGAGCGAAAGCUGGUCCUAGUGACCCGGUGGUGCUGCGUGGAAAGGCCAUCGAUCAUCGGAUAAAAGUUACCCCGGGGAUAACAGGCUAGUACCGCCCGAGAGUUCACAUCGACGGCGGUGUUCGGCACCUCGAUGUCGGCUCACCUCAUCCUGGGGCUGAAGCAGGUCCCAAGGGUCCGUCUGUUCGCCGGUUAAAGAGGUACGCGAGCUGGGUUUAAACCGUCGUAAGACAGGUUGGUCCAUAUCCGCCGUGGGCGUAGGAGACUUGAGGGGCACUCUUCCUAGUACGAGAGGACCGGAAGGGCUAGACCGCUGGUCUACCAGUCGUCCCGCCAGGGGCGCCGCUGGGUAGCUAUGUCUGGAAAGGAUAAGCGCUGAAGGCAUCUAAGCGCGAAGCCCACCCCAAGAUUAGGUCUCCAGGGUCCAAGCGCCUUCGGGCGCGCGGACCGAGAGGUCCCUGCGAGAAUAGCAGGUAGAUAGGCCGCAGGUGGAAGCGCAGUAAUGCGUGCAGCCGAGCGGUACUAAUCGACCGAUCGCUUGCGCGACCAC